Cyanistes caeruleus (blue tit) is the source of this 1799-nucleotide long non-coding RNA. The record is from Ensembl. NCBI's taxonomy places the organism in Eukaryota, Metazoa, Chordata, Aves, Passeriformes, Paridae.
CGCGGAAAAGGGCGCGGGGAGGUGCACGCGCUGCUGUGCUCUGAGGGGCCGGGGACCGCAGCGCUCCUCACGGGGCUCUGGGGCUGCCGGUGGCGGCGCGCUCGUCCUUCCUGGCCUCGGGAGAGAUCGCUUCCAGGAAUUGAGGGGCUGCGGAGGCAGGAAAUCCUGCGGGGCCCCGUGCAGGGAGCGGCCGCAACGGCAUCACCUCCGCGCGCGGGAGGGUGGGGUCCCAGCCGCCUCCUUCCCGCUCCGUGUGAGCAUCCGCACGAUGAAAUGUGGAACUUGACUGUGAGAUGAAGGGUUUCCCCAAACAGAACUUUGAUCCUGAAUCGUAGCUAAAAAACAACGUUAAACCCGUUUUCUGCCCCGGGUGCUUCCCAUUUACGCUGUCCUCCGGGUGUCUGACCUCUCUAUCAACGAUACACUAACAGAAGUCUUUAGAGAGAACAAUAGCGGGAUGCCGUCAGCAGCAUGGAGACAUUAAUGAACAAAACAGAGUAAAUUAUGUCCCCCAGAAGCUGUGGGUCCUCUCCUCCAACCUGUCCACAAGAGUUCAGUAAUGUGAAUAGUUCUUAUGCAGCUGUAAUGUGAGAUGAUGCUUGUAUAUGGUGUUAAACCACAUCCAUAAAAUCUCCACUGAUAAUAGUCUUUCCAGAAGCAGCCUUCAGAGCAUUCAAUUGGUGAAGUCAUUAUGGUUUGGAACCGGGAAACUGAGGCAGCACUUUGCAGUCCUUUCAUAUAAAAUUGCAAGCAAAAUCACAGAGGCAUCAUUAAAAAUUACAAAACAUAAUUGCUGUUUAUUCUUUGUGUUGCCUGAGAGCUACAGUGACAAACAGAGCUCUGCUUGUGUCUGUGCAAACACUGUGUGAUCUUACAAACAUGUUUUGAAUGCAUUAUGUACAAUGAUUUGGUUCAAGGACAAUUUAAAACUUUCACCAGCUUCUUCAGCAGGCUUGACUAAAGGUUCCCUGACCUCCCUGGGAUAGCUAAGAUUGCAAAGAUGUUCAGAAAUUAUAUGUAAAAUGACAAAAACUGUCUCAUGUGCAGUUUCCAAAGGGUACUAUAUAAUGUCUCGCUUGGACAGAAUAGAGUGCCGCUGCUGGGCCUGUCUGACCCCCAGUUUCUGCUGGCAACAAGCCCAGAUAAACGUCCCGGGGGAGAGCCACCAUCCGGGGUUUCCAGGCAGUCUCCAGCCAGGGGUAACCCUUAGGAGCACAGGCAGAGGCCUUUGGUGACCAGCUCUUUUAGAAGGUGAUUUCUGCUCUGUGAUCAGCUCAGUUCAGCCCAGCCAGGUCCCUUCAGGAGUUACCCCAGGUGACGCUGACAAGAGAUAGGAAGACCAUGUGGCAUUCCACAGAAAGUCUUUAAUGCAGGCUUCAGCGAAGGGGGCCAGUGAUGAUCUAACCACUGAUCUGGGCAAAAGCUGGGUUUUUUAUGGGGAAGGGGAGAAUUGGGAAGGGGACCAAUGGUCUGAGAUGGGGAUAAGAUGACCAAUAGUUAACAGGGAGAUAACAUGUGUCCUGAGGCAGAAAGGGGUCCACAGCUCAGUCACCAUGACUAGGCAGUUUUAUCUUAUCUUAGGGGACAGAUCUCCAGGGAGGAUGCCUGUCAUACUGGGCUUCCUCCACAAUAGAGUUUGGAUUCAAUACACUGCCAGUCUUUGAGAGGGCUCAGAUUGAUGCCCAAAAUGUCUCUUCAUGCAGAGGGACCUUCUGUAAAUAGUAAAAAAUAUUUACCUCCUACAGCAAUUGGUGGACUUUCCUAAUAAAAGAAAGGAAGAGUUAAAAUAUUAAUAUUUA